UUGUUUUUGACACUAGAUCCUUGUUCCCUAGUGUUUUUUGAGUCUAGGUUUCAAAUUUUGUUUAAUUUAGAGUUGUAGAAGUGAAGUUACCAUUGAAGGGUUUCAAGCUUUUCAAACUUUUCAAAUUUUGAAAGUGGGUCUUUUGAUUGAGGAGAAAUUGGAGGUUAAUAAUUAGUGGGCUUUGUUCUCUUAGUUGAAGGGAAGAAAAUCCUAAAUUUUGAGUCAAUUUCGAGUUGAUUUGAGUGUAUUGGGGUUUAGUGUGUGUUCUUGG
RNAcentral lists this long non-coding RNA (271 nucleotides) under Solanum tuberosum (potato). RNAcentral describes it as "long non-coding RNA (STUB_LNC001481)". The record is from RNAcentral. Lineage: Eukaryota; Viridiplantae; Streptophyta; Magnoliopsida; Solanales; Solanaceae.